AAACAGCAUGGUAACUGACGACAUUUGUGGAAUUAACCACAAGGGAGCUAUGCUUUUAUAGAGUCGGGUCGUCUGGGCAGAGAUA
RNAcentral lists this non-coding RNA (85 nucleotides) under Heyndrickxia sporothermodurans. RNAcentral's name for it is "Bacillus sporothermodurans ZTP sequence". It matches the Rfam family "ZMP/ZTP riboswitch aptamer (pfl RNA motif)". From Rfam's summary of the family: Previously known as pfl RNA. ZMP is also known as AICAR. Lineage: Bacteria; Bacillati; Bacillota; Bacilli; Caryophanales; Bacillaceae. The record is from Rfam by way of RNAcentral.